Molecule: long non-coding RNA, 2394 nt
Filed under: Arachis ipaensis
Lineage: Eukaryota; Viridiplantae; Streptophyta; Magnoliopsida; Fabales; Fabaceae
Description: long non-coding RNA (AIPA_LNC002303)
Source: RNAcentral
ACAAUCAUAUGUGAAAAUUCAUAUUCAAAUAAAAAAAUAAUUACAAAAGUAUAGUUCACUUAGGAUGUGGUUCGUUGUUCAAAGCUUUUUUUGUAGAGCAACAUAGCAAAAGUGAAGUGGUGAUUCCAAACUAUAACCUGGUUGAAAAAUUCUUUGUCAGAAGCUCUUCCAUGGUUGUGGUAAGAGUCGAACCGAGAAAGUUGGGGGUGUACCUGUAAAAGACACUCCGACGCUCAAGUCAGUAAGUAUUUAAGAGGUAUAAUAAUUCUAUGAAUAUAUAAUGUUAAAAAAAUAAGCAUAGAAAACAANUACACGUGGUGGCAAGCCACGGCACUUAAUCCAGGGAACCUCGUAUCUCAGAUAUUUCAAAUUCAUAAGCCAUAUAAACAAUUCAUUCAUCAUUUAUCAAUCCAUAUCCCAUUUCCAAAUUCAUUCAAAAAUCAUAUUUCAAAUCAAUCCUCAUCAUCCUUCUUUCCAUUAAUCAACAAUCUCAAUCCAAAACAUAAUUCUUUCUUUUCUAAAUAAAUCAAUCUUAAAUAAAUAACGUUUAAGAAUUAAAUCUUUUUAAACAAUUACUUCAAACAAAACUUCCAAUUUUAUAAAAUUUCGGCAGCAUCUCCUCUAAAACUCGGAUUCUGCCACCCUUUUCGGGUCCCAACCAAACCAAACCAAACACCUGUUAGUCAGUCAAAUCACUCCCAACACAAUUUUCACCACAACCACAUUCAACACAAGGUAAUAGCAAAAUCCAGAAUCCAAUCAACCAGUCCUAUAAAUCGCAAUCUAAAUUAAUCUCAUUCAACAGUAUUAAUCAAUAAUUAAGAACUCUCGGUUUUCUCAAACCGUUUCAAACCAAACCGUUCCUCAAACCCUGUUCGAACCAUUUCCAAAAUAGUAAAUUAUUGUCAAUAAACAAAUCGUUUUCAAAUAUAAGGCCCUUUCCAAAUUUGUUUUAAAAUCAAAUUCCGAUAUCAAAUCAGGUUCAAUAUCAAAUCAAAUUUCAAUACUAAACCUUUCCUAAAAUCGAAUCAUUUCUAAAGUUAAACUAAAUGCCAUUACUAAAUAUCUUCCAAUAACUCUCGAAAAACUACUUUAACCACAUCCGUCAACUAAUCAGAAUAUUCAACUUUCUGAAUCGAUCAAUCAAUCAAUACAACUAAUAACCUCAUUCAUCCAAAACAACUCAAUUCAAUUCAUAAGACUUACGAAAUUACCAAAAAUGUAUUUUAUGCAUUAAUAUCGAUUUAUAACAACUCUGGAAAGUAAACAAGUUUAAGAAAAGCGCCCCUACCUCGACUAGCUGAAUUCAAGAAUCAAAGGCGACAAACCCACUUAUUCCAAAUUAACAGCAACAACAGCAAUGGCAUUAGAAUCAGCAGUAUUAACAGCAGCAACAUCAAAUUUGAUGGAAUCAAACGCGGAAACAACUCUAAAAAAAUUCAAGGCAAUACCAAAAAUAAAAUGGAAUUAAAAUCGUAACAAACAGAUAAACGAGACCAAAGCAGUUCAGAGUAUAAAAGUGAAACAGAGUCAGGAGACAGGCUAGACCUAGGGCAGUGACACUGAACUUGAAUUGGGGCAAGUCAACAGCAUCGGUAGCAACGGUAGAACUGGCAAUAGUAAUUCCAGUCACCCCAGCAGCGACGACUCUUUCAGAGCAUCAACCAUCACAGUCCACAGUUGCAGCAGCUUAAUCCUAAAACAUCAACGUCUUAAACUUCUCAAUCAACGGAUAACAUGACAAUAGCAGUGGGGGUUCAGAAACAAAAAUGACUUACGGUAAUUAAGGAAAACAAGGAAAAUGAAGCGUAGCAGUAGUAGCGCAAUGACUGCAACAACAACAGGGAAAAUGGUCUCCUUCCCCACCUCAGCUCAUGACUCCGGCGGCGGCGAUGGCGGAGAGAGCAGCGGCGGCAGAAACCCCCGCAACGCCUUCUCUCUCUCCUCGCGUUGUUCUGUCUCUCUCUCUCUUCGCAUCGGAUUCUGCUCAAGGCUCGAUAGCAGCUCGCAGCGCCGGUUCGACGGCAACGACUCCAUGGCGGUCCGACGGCGAUGGUGAUGACGAGGUGCAGCGAAGCUGGCGGCGCACGUCGCGAUGACGGUGGCGACGCUCCUCACUCGCGCGAGCUUCCCCUGCUCCGUGACACGCUCUCCUCGCUCCUCCUCCAUCGGCGAAGACAGCGGCGCGACGAGCAGCAGGGACUCGCCGGCACGCUCUCCCCCUUUCUUCUCCCUCCUGAUUCGCACCCUCUCCUCUCUUUCUUUCUUUCUGUGGAUUUUUGGCUGCUGCUAAGUGUGGCGUUGUGAGUUUGUUUUUUGGAAGAAAAGGAAAGGGGUAUGGCGGCUGAAGGGAGUGGGGUAAUUAGGAUUAAAGUUUUAGGAAGUGUUUAGCAA